CCUACGGGAGGCAGCAGUGGGGAAUAUUGCACAAUGGGGGAAACCCUGAUGCAGCGACGCCGCGUGAGUGAAGAAGUAAUUCGUUAUGUAAAGCUCUAUCAGCAGGGAAGAAAAUGACGGUACCUGAGUAAGAAGCCCCGGCUAACUACGUGCCAGCAGCCGCGGUAAUACGUAGGGGGCAAGCGUUAUCCGGAUUUACUGGGUGUAAAGGGAGCGUAGACGGCAGUGCAAGUCUGGAGUGAAAGGCGGGGGCUCAACCCCCGGACUGCUAUGGAAACUGUACGGCUGGAGUGAAGGAGAGGCAGGCGGAAUUCCUAGUGUAGCGGUGAAAUGCGUAGAUAUUAGGAGGAACACCAGUGGCGAAGGCGGCCUGCUGGGCUUUAACUGACGCUGAGGCUCGAAAGCGUGGGGAGCAAACAGGAUUAGAUACCCUAGUAGUC
This 440-nucleotide ribosomal RNA is filed under the name uncultured bacterium. RNAcentral's name for it is "partial 16S ribosomal RNA". It matches the Rfam family "Bacterial small subunit ribosomal RNA", at positions 338 to 795 of the family's 1533-position model. The record is from RNAcentral.